GUGAGUCCUCUUACCUGGACUUCAGCAGAGCAGACACUCGAGCGUGGUACUCCAGAUGUUUCGGCCUGGAUAAAUACAAGGGAUCGACGUCCUCGUUGUUUGUGUGGAACGAUAUGAACGAACCGUCUGUAUUUGACGGGCCGGAGCAGACGAUGCCGAAAGACGCAGUGCAUUAUGGGGGCUGGGAACACCGGGAACUGCACAACCUGUACGGCUUCUACCAGCACAUGGCCACAGCAGACGGUCUGAUAACUCGCUCCGGAGGUUCAGAGCGACCCUUCAUUCUGACUCGCUCCUUCUUCGCUGGCUCACAGAGAUUUGGAGCAGUUUGGACCGGGGACAACGUGGCGAGCUGGGAGUAUCUGAAGGUCUCCGUCCCCAUGCUGCUGUCGCUCAGCGUGGCCGGCAUCGCUUUCUGUGGAGCUGAUGUCGGUGGUUUUGUUCAGGAUCCGGACCCAGAGCUGUUGGUCCGAUGGUACCAGGCGGCGGCGCUGCAGCCCUUCUUCAGAGGUCACUCUGCCAAGGAGACGAAGAGACGAGAGCCUUGGCUGUUCGGACAGGAGGUCACCGAUAGGAUCCGCACCGCCAUCACACAGAGGUACUGUUUGCUGCCGUACUGGUACACUCUGUUUCACCAGGCUCACACCUGUGGCCUGCCCCCCCUCAGGCCUCUGUGGGUGGAGUUCCCGGCAGAGCAGAGCGCCUUCUCCGUGGACCACCAGUUCAUGAUCGGAGGAGCUCUGCUGGCCUGUCCUGUAACUGAAGCUCAAGUUAAGGAAGUCAAAGUCUUACUUCCUGGAUCUAACGAGGUUUGGUACGACGUCCACUCUGCAGAGGAGUUUAAAGGAGGAAGGACUCUGGCUCUUCCUGUCACUCUGGACACAGUCCCUGUGUUCCAGCGUGGAGGCUCGGUGCUCUGCAGGGCCGCAGGACGUGUUUCCUGCACCGCUGACCUCCAGCUGCUGCCCCUCUCCAUCACUGUGGCCCCUAACCCUCAGGGUCUCGCUGACGGAGAGCUCUAUCUGGACGACGGGCACUCCUUCAGAUUCAGAGACAGGAAGUCCUUCAGCCGGCGGCGCUUCAGCUUCCUGUCCGACCGUCUGAUCUGCCGUAUUUAUUGUGUUUUCUUGCAGUGCUGCAGGUGAGGGGGAAACAUUUGAGUGUGACACCGUCGUUCAGACGCUCACCGUCCUGGGACUGAAGAGAAAACCGUCCUCUGUGAUCGUACAUGUGAACGGUGCUGAAGAUGUCUCGGCUGCGUUUGAGUUCCUGGAGAGCUGCUCCACGCUGACGGUGAAAGACCUGGAGCUCAGAGUGCUGACGGACUGGGAAAUACAGAUGUGUUAAAAAACUGUCAAAAUAUAUCAGCUUCUGAUUCCAGGUAAACAAUGUCCGAGUCAUUUUACAAAACGUGAUAAUAUAGACUUAGGUGUUUAAUUCAGUACGAUGGUUGCCUUAUUGCUUUUAUGGUCUUCUUUUUAGGUCUUUAUUUGUUUAUUGUAUUGUUUUAUGUUUGAAUUUGGGAAUUAACUCUCACAUAAAUUAUUAAAAUUCAAGUUAUAAA
This is an RNA transcript of Gymnodraco acuticeps, 1564 nucleotides long. It is a transcript of the gene named glucosidase, alpha; neutral C, with no coding region annotated. The record is from RefSeq and is a predicted model, not a curated record. Lineage: Eukaryota; Metazoa; Chordata; Actinopteri; Perciformes; Bathydraconidae.